Molecule: long non-coding RNA, 719 nt
Organism: Perca fluviatilis (European perch)
Lineage: Eukaryota; Metazoa; Chordata; Actinopteri; Perciformes; Percidae
Exons: 5
Source: RefSeq, a predicted model, not a curated record
GAAUUUACAGAGUCCAAGACUGUAAAUAUUAUAUCAGACUCGUGGUUUGAAGAUGGUGCGACUUUCUGGCCAAACUAUAAAAGCGAUGAACGCAUCAACAGAGCUGUUCGAAAACAUGAGGUGCCAGGAUCAGACUGGAAAAUGUAUGACGUUCGAGUCCUCUCAAGAGCUGGCUCAUCUUUGGUGAUACCGACUCUGAAAGUGAGCCAGAGGAGAGGAACAAUACAAUACCCACUUAUCUCUCCCUCACUCCAGCACCACCUAUUGCUCCACCGACUCCUAACUUCUCAGCUAGACCUCUGCCAGAUCCGAAUAAUGCUGAACUUCUUCAUUUCACUGCGGCUGCACCACUUGUUCCCAUCCCUCUACCUUGCAUGCCUUCAAGUCCUCCAUGCCAGAUUUCUGCUGGACCUCUGCCUGAUCUGAGGCAAUGUGAUCGUGGUAGUUACACAGCUCCAGUGGCACUUGUUCCUACCCCUACGUCUCGCAUGCCCUCAAGUCCUAGGCGCCGGAUCACUGCCACUCCUCUCACAAAUGACUAUCAAGGCCAUUGUUUUGUCCCCACUUUUAGACUGGGGAGGACUGGCACUGGACCUGUUCCUUGCUCUGCGGCUGAGCUGCACAUUCUAACUUUGCUGGAACAUAUCAAGGAGCAGCAAAUGCAGCUGGCUGCUGCUGUAAAUAACAUUGCUGCAAGAAUGGGGACGGAAACUCCUAUG